UAUGGCUCAGGAUGAACGCUAGCGACAGGCCUAACACAUGCAAGUCGAGGGGCAGCACAAGGAGCAAUCUGAGGUGGCGACCGGCGCACGGGUGAGUAACACGUAUGCAACCUGCCUGUAAGCGGGGAAUAACCCGUUGAAAGACGGACUAAUACCGCAUAAUACUAAAUUACUGCAUGGUAAUUUAUUUAAACAUUUAUGGCUUACAGAUGGGCAUGCGCAUGAUUAGCUAGUUGGAGAGGUAACGGCUCCCCAAGGCAACGAUCAUUAGGGGUUCUGAGAGGAAGGUCCCCCACACUGGUACUGAGACACGGACCAGACUCCUACGGGAGGCAGCAGUGAGGAAUAUUGGUCAAUGGACGAGAGUCUGAACCAGCCAAGUCGCGUGCAGGGAAAAGAAUGUCCUAUGGAUUGUAAACUGCUUUUGCAGGGGAAUAAAGUGCAGGACGUGUCCUGUUUUGUAUGUACCCUGAGAAUAAGGAUCGGCUAACUCCGUGCCAGCCGCCGC
This 508-nucleotide ribosomal RNA is filed under the name uncultured bacterium. RNAcentral's name for it is "bacterial SSU rRNA". It matches the Rfam family "Bacterial small subunit ribosomal RNA", at positions 18 to 518 of the family's 1533-position model. The record is from RNAcentral.